Molecule: long non-coding RNA, 225 nt
Filed under: Elaeis guineensis (African oil palm)
Lineage: Eukaryota; Viridiplantae; Streptophyta; Magnoliopsida; Arecales; Arecaceae
Description: long non-coding RNA (EGUI_LNC021466)
Source: RNAcentral
UCUUGCCAUCUUCUUAGUUGGUUCACCAUAGAAAGAACUCGGGAGAAAUAGUCUGUAGUAGUUUUGGACUCUUUCAUCUGCUGCUUCAAAUUUGGCUCAAAAUAUUUGGAGCCAAUCUAUUUUAAUCUUUUUAAUGCCUUUAUAAGCUUUCUCAAGGAUCUUUCAAGCUUGUUUGGAUGUAGUGCACCUGCAAUCUUCUCAAAAUUUGCUUCAUCUAAGGCUUGA